GCCUCGGUGGUGUAGGAUUUCAUAAAUGCAGAAUGGUCUAGCAUAUAGCCCUGUCGAGGCUAUGACCCGGGUUCGAAUCCCGGCCGAGGCG
This 91-nucleotide transfer RNA is filed under the name Candidatus Aenigmatarchaeota archaeon. RNAcentral's name for it is "tRNA-Asp". It matches the Rfam family "tRNA". From Rfam's summary of the family: Transfer RNA (tRNA) molecules are approximately 80 nucleotides in length. Their secondary structure includes four short double-helical elements and three loops (D, anti-codon, and T loops). Lineage: Archaea; Nanobdellati; Candidatus Aenigmatarchaeota. The record is from RNAcentral.